GAUGAACGCUGGCGGCGUGCCUAAUACAUGCAAGUCGAGCGAACAGAUGAGGAGCUUGCUCCUCUGACGUUAGCGGCGGACGGGUGAGUAACACGUGGAUAACCUACCUAUAAGACUGGGAUAACUUCGGGAAACCGUAGCUAAUACCGGAUAAUAUAUUGAACCGCAUGGUUCAAUAGUGAAAGACGGUUUUGCUGUCACUUAUAGAUGGAUCCGCGCCGGAUUAGCUAGUUGGUAAGGUAACGGCUUACCAAGGCGACGAUGCGUAGCCGACCUGAGAGGGUGAUCGGCCACACUGGAACUGAGACACGGUCCAGACUCCUACGGGAGGCAGCAGUAGGGAAUCUUCCGCAAUGGGCGAAAGCCUGACGGAGCAACGCCGCGUGAGUGAUGAAGGUCUUCGGAUCGUAAAACUCUGUUAUUAGGGAAGAACAAAUGUGUAAGUAACUAUGCACGUCUUGACGGUACCUAAUCAGAAAGCCACGGCUAACUACGUG
RNAcentral lists this ribosomal RNA (497 nucleotides) under uncultured bacterium. RNAcentral describes it as "partial 16S ribosomal RNA". It matches the Rfam family "Bacterial small subunit ribosomal RNA", at positions 28 to 507 of the family's 1533-position model. The record is from RNAcentral.